This 406-nucleotide ribosomal RNA is filed under the name uncultured bacterium. Its description in RNAcentral is "partial 16S ribosomal RNA". It matches the Rfam family "Bacterial small subunit ribosomal RNA", at positions 30 to 526 of the family's 1533-position model. The record is from RNAcentral.
AUUGAACGCUGGCGGCAGGCCUAACACAUGCAAGUCGAGCGGAGCGGCGGACGGGUGAGUAAUGCCUAGGAAUCUGCCUGGUAGUGGGGGAUAACGUCCGGAAACGGGCGCUAAUACCGCAUCCUCUCAGAUGAGCCUAGGUCGGAUUAGCUGGUUGGUGGGGUAAAGGCCUACCAAGGCGACGAUCCGUAACUGGUCUGGGGGGAUGAUCAGUCACACUGGAACUGAGAAACGGGCCAGCUCCCUACGGGAGGCAGCGGGGGGUAAUUUUGGACAAGGGGCGAAGCCUGAUCCAGCCAUGCCGCGUGUGUGAAGAAGGUCUUCGGAUUGUAAAGUACUUUAAGUUGGGAGGCGUUACCAACAGAAUAAGCACCGGCUAACUUCGUGCCAGCAGCCGCGGUAAUAC